RNAcentral lists this ribosomal RNA (83 nucleotides) under Vigna angularis (adzuki bean). Its description in RNAcentral is "partial 5.8S ribosomal RNA". It matches the Rfam family "5.8S ribosomal RNA", at positions 73 to 153 of the family's 154-position model. Rfam says of the family: 5.8S ribosomal RNA (5.8S rRNA) is a component of the large subunit of the eukaryotic ribosome. It is transcribed by RNA polymerase I as part of the 45S precursor that also contains 18S and 28S rRNA. Lineage: Eukaryota; Viridiplantae; Streptophyta; Magnoliopsida; Fabales; Fabaceae. The record is from RNAcentral.
UGCAGAAUCCCGUGAACCAUCGAGUCUUUGAACGCAAGUUGCGCCCGAAGCCACUAGGCCGAGGGCACGCCUGCCUGGGUGUC